GUAAGGCAAGCAGUGAUUGGCAAAAGUCCCUGGAGCAGAACCAAGUCUCUCAGCAUUGCUCCCGUAGAGCACGCAUGGGGCCAUGCUACCUAGUAAACAAACUUCAAUAUCACUGCUGCAGAACUCAUCAGUCCUUCCAAAACAAGCACAAAGUCCAGAAUCCCACUGAGCCCUAUUCAUAAUCGGAUCAACGACAACUCCAUGACCCAUGGGGACCCCUUCAACUGUCCAUCCCAUCGGAACAACGGCUGAUAAAGGCUUCACCGGAUCCGCCGGAAACGGUGGAACUGGGGUUGUUGAAGAAAUGGGUUUAUUGGGAUUCUUCUCAUCUUUCACCUCAGAUUGUUGAUUGGGUAAAAGUGGGUUCGAUUCAUCGGUAUUUGCCAUUGGGAUUUUGAUGAAAUCAAGAAGAUUUUUGAGGAAUUUUGAAAGAUUGGUGAAGAAAUUUGUGCUAUGUAUAAUGCUGUGUAAAUACGUG
This 478-nucleotide unclassified non-coding RNA is filed under the name Hevea brasiliensis (rubber tree). Lineage: Eukaryota; Viridiplantae; Streptophyta; Magnoliopsida; Malpighiales; Euphorbiaceae. The record is from RNAcentral.